This 474-nucleotide ribosomal RNA is filed under the name uncultured organism. Its description in RNAcentral is "partial 16S ribosomal RNA". It matches the Rfam family "Bacterial small subunit ribosomal RNA", at positions 334 to 799 of the family's 1533-position model. The record is from RNAcentral.
CACUCCUACGGGAGGCAGCAGUGGGGAAUAUUGCACAAUGGGCGCAAGCCUGAUGCAGCCAUGCCGCGUGUAUGAAGAAGGCCUUCGGGUUGUAAAGUACUUUCAGCGGGGAGGAAGGCGAUAAGGUUAAUAACCUUGUCGAUUGACGUUACCCGCAGAAGAAGCACCGGCUAACUCCGUGCCAGCAGCCGCGGUAAUACGGAGGGUGCAAGCGUUAAUCGGAAUUACUGGGCGUAAAGCGCACGCAGGCGGUCUGUCAAGUCGGAUGUGAAAUCCCCGGGCUCAACCUGGGAACUGCAUUCGAAACUGGCAGGCUAGAGUCUUGUAGAGGGGUGUAGAAUUCCAGGUGUAGCGGUGAAAUGCGUAGAGAUCUGGAGGAAUACCGGUGGCGAAGGCGGCCCCCUGGACAAAGACUGACGCUCAGGUGCGAAAGCGUGGGGAGCAAACAGGAUUAGAUACCCGAGUAGUCCCAUG